GUUGGAUGAAGCUGAAGGGAAGUUUGACUUUCAUCAAUUCCAUGAGAAAGUCAUUGAAAGAUUUUGCCUGCCACCUGAUGCCAAAGUUGCAUACAAGGAUGGAACAGAUACUGAAGUUGAUGAAGAAAUAUUCAGUGACCUCAUUAAACAAGGCAAUGUUGUGUUGAAGGUCUACUGCCAUGAUGAGUUCUCUGAAAGGUCUGCUUCUGAGUCUGA
Long non-coding RNA from Cyprinodon tularosa, 216 nucleotides. RefSeq lists it as uncharacterized. The transcript is spliced from 3 exons. The record is from RefSeq and is a predicted model, not a curated record. NCBI's taxonomy places the organism in Eukaryota, Metazoa, Chordata, Actinopteri, Cyprinodontiformes, Cyprinodontidae.